CUAUUAAUCAGUAUUUUCCAUUCUUGAAUGAAAACAAUAAUGACUGGGUUUGAAAUCCAUUUAUAAAAGACAGGCCAGCCAAUUCUUCUGAUGUAGAUUUUGAUAAUCUGAUCGCUUUAUAACUUCUGACAGUCAACUAACCCAAAAAUUUAAAGAAGUUUCUCUUAUUGCUUUUUGGGGUGAUUUACGCGAAGAAUACCAGGAAUUGUCCAAGCGGACAAU
Molecule: non-coding RNA, 222 nt
Organism: Pelobates cultripes (western spadefoot toad)
Lineage: Eukaryota; Metazoa; Chordata; Amphibia; Anura; Pelobatidae
Source: the annotation of a GenBank genome assembly